GACACUUUGGCCGAGUGGUUAAGGCGCUGCCCUGCUAGUCUUCACACAAGAAGAAAGUUGAGGCAGUGGGUUCGCCCACGUAGGUUCGAAUCCUGCAGGUGUCG
Molecule: transfer RNA, 104 nt
Filed under: Endocarpon pusillum Z07020
Lineage: Eukaryota; Fungi; Ascomycota; Eurotiomycetes; Verrucariales; Verrucariaceae
Rfam family: tRNA
About the family: Transfer RNA (tRNA) molecules are approximately 80 nucleotides in length. Their secondary structure includes four short double-helical elements and three loops (D, anti-codon, and T loops).
Source: Rfam by way of RNAcentral